AGCUCCAAUAGCGUAUAUUUAAGUUGCUGCAGUUAAAAAGCUCGUAGUUGGAUUUCGGGUGGGAAUGGCCGGUCCGCCGUUUCGGUGUGCACUUGCUAGUCCCACCUUGCUGCCGGGGACGUGCUCUUGGGUUUCGGCUCGGGACACGGAGUCGGCGAGGUUACUUUGAGUAAAUUAGAGUGUUCAAAGCAGGCCUACGCUCUGAAUACAUUAGCAUGGAAUAACACGAUAGGACUCUGGCCUAUCUUGUUGGUCUGUAGGACCGGAGUAAUGAUUAAGAGGGACAGUCGGGGGCAUUCGUAUUUCAUUGUCAGAGGUGAAAUUCUUGGAUUUAUGAAAGACGAACUACUGCGAAAGCAUUUGCCAAGGAUGUUUUCAUUA
RNAcentral lists this ribosomal RNA (381 nucleotides) under Picochlorum sp. RNAcentral describes it as "partial small subunit ribosomal RNA". It matches the Rfam family "Eukaryotic small subunit ribosomal RNA", at positions 587 to 975 of the family's 1831-position model. The record is from RNAcentral. RNAcentral also lists the same sequence under 1 other name. Lineage: Eukaryota; Viridiplantae; Chlorophyta; Trebouxiophyceae.